ACACGACUACAUUAGAUACCCGUGUAGUCCUAGCCGUAAACGAUACCCGCUAGGUGUCGGCCACGGUGCGACCGUUGUCGGUGCCGUAGGGAAGCCGUGAAGCGAGCCACCUGGGAAGUACGGCCGCAAGGCUGAAACUUAAAGGAAUUGGCGGGGGAGCACCACAAUGGGUGGAGCUUGCGGUUUAAUUGGAUUCAACGCCGGAAAUCUUACCGGGACCGACAGCAACAUGAAGGCCAGGCUGAAGACUUUGCCGGAUUAGCUG
This 265-nucleotide ribosomal RNA is filed under the name uncultured archaeon. Its description in RNAcentral is "partial 16S ribosomal RNA". It matches the Rfam family "Archaeal small subunit ribosomal RNA", at positions 719 to 982 of the family's 1478-position model. The record is from RNAcentral.